CCGCGUGUGUGAUGAAGGUCUUAGGAUCGUAAAGCACUUUCGCCAGGGAUGAUAAUGACAGUACCUGGUAAAGAAACCCCGGCUAACUCCGUGCCAGCAGCCGCGGUAAUACGGAGGGGGUUAGCGUUGUUCGGAAUUACUGGGCGUAAAGCGUACGUAGGCGGAUCAGAAAGUUGGGGGUGAAAUCCCGGGGCUCAACCCCGGAACUGCCUCCAAAACUCCUGGUCUUGAGUUCGAGAGAGGUGAGUGGAAUUCCAAGUGUAGAGGUGAAAUUCGUAGAUAUUUGGAGGAACACCAGUGGCGAAGGCGGCUCACUGGCUCGAUACUGACGCUGAGGUACGAAAGUGUGGGGAGCAAACAGGAUUAGAUACCCUGGUAGUCCACACCGUAAACGAUGAAUGCCAGUCGUCGGGCAGUAUACUGUUCGGUGACACACCUAACGGAUUAAGCAUUCCGCCUGGGGAGUACGGUCGCAAGAUUAAAA
This 484-nucleotide ribosomal RNA is filed under the name Sulfitobacter sp. Its description in RNAcentral is "bacterial SSU rRNA". It matches the Rfam family "Bacterial small subunit ribosomal RNA", at positions 397 to 899 of the family's 1533-position model. The record is from RNAcentral. Lineage: Bacteria; Pseudomonadati; Pseudomonadota; Alphaproteobacteria; Rhodobacterales; Roseobacteraceae.